UGGGGAAUCUUGCACAAUGGGCGCAAGCCUGAUGCAGCGACGCCGCGUGGGGGAUGACGGCCUUCGGGUUGUAAACUCCUUUCGCUAGGGACGAAGCUUUUUGUGACGGUACCUAGAUAAGAAGCACCGGCUAACUACGUGCCAGCAGCCGCGGUAAUACGUAGGGUGCGAGCGUUGUCUGGAAUUACUGGGCGUAAAGGGCUCGUAGGUGGUUUGUCGCGUCGUCUGUGAAAUUCCGGGGCUUAACUCCGGGCGUGCAGGCGAUACGGGCAUAACUUGAGUACGGUAGGGGUAACUGGAAGUCCUGGUGGAGCGGUGAAAUGCGAAGAUAUCAGGAGGAACACCGAUGGCGAAGGCAGGUUACUGGGCAGUUACUGACGCUGAAGAGCGAAAGCAGGGGUAGCGAACAGG
Molecule: ribosomal RNA, 411 nt
Filed under: Actinomycetes bacterium
Lineage: Bacteria; Bacillati; Actinomycetota; Actinomycetes
Description: Actinobacteria bacterium partial 16S ribosomal RNA
Rfam family: Bacterial small subunit ribosomal RNA
Source: RNAcentral